Long non-coding RNA from Pelodiscus sinensis (Chinese soft-shelled turtle), 815 nucleotides. RefSeq lists it as uncharacterized. The record is from RefSeq and is a predicted model, not a curated record. NCBI's taxonomy places the organism in Eukaryota, Metazoa, Chordata, Testudines, Trionychidae.
ACUAGUUGCCCAAUGCUGCAUUUUGAUUGGCUGAAUGGAUCUUUUUUAUGCUGUCAUAGUCGCACAUCGACAGUUAUGAGAAAAAACAUGUUUAGUGUGGUGAAGGGGCAGUUUAAAGCGGGUGAUGUCAAAGAUGGUCAUGCUAUGGGGACGGACAGUCAAGCCGUUGGGUGGCACUGAGACGGAAGGAGAAAAGGUGUUACAUUUUCAACUGCACCUUCUCCCAAAGCGGCAAGCUACCUUUUCAAGGGGAGUUUGUUAACCUUCCAACCACUUUUAACCCAUUUUCCAGUGUAAAAAUAAGAAAUGCAGCUGUGUCACCAUGAGGUCAACAAGAGAGAAAAACCCUACUGAAAUCUCCCAGAUGGAUUGAGAGGGGCUAAAGAGUAAACUCGGGACCAUCUUCUGUGGCUGAAAGGACUAGGGGACUUCACAGGGCACUUUCAGAUAAGGAGGAGAGCAAGAGAUGUCAUGGACAACUGCAUGUUUGAAAUGAGCUCAGGCAGAGACCAGGAUCCUACAAAAAAGACAUGAAACUGAAUCCUCACCUUGACACCCCCAUCUCCUCCUGCUUGCAUGUGCCCCCACUAAUAUCUGUGCCCUUGCCCUGGAAUCCUGUCUCCCCUACCCUGGUCACAACUACGUCCUUGCACUGGAAUCCCUUGCCCUCACCUGAAGUAAACAAAAAUCCACCUGCACGACCCCACCAGCUAAAGAAGCACAUCAGCUCGAGCAGCUCCCUGGCCUGUGAGGUUUGCAUCAAGACAGUGUAAUUUUAGGGAAAAUACAAUUUUUCUUAAUCUAACAAAGUUCUU